AACGCGAAGAACCUUACCAGGGUUUGACAUCCCGAGAAUCUUUCCGAAAGGAGAGAGUGCCGCAAGGAAUUCGGUGACAGGUGUUGCAUGGCCGUCGUCAGCUCGUGUCGUGAGAUGUUUGGUUAAGUCCAUUAACGAGCGCAACCCCUUUACUUAGUUAGAUUUUUCUAGGUAGACUGCCCCGGUAACGGGGAGGAAGGAGGGGAUGAUGUCAGGUCAGUAUUACCCUUACACCCUGGGCUAGAAACACGCUACAAUGGCCGGUACAAAGGGCUGCCAAGUCGCGAGACGGAGCAAAUCCCAUCAAAACCGGUCUCAGUUCGGAUUGCAGGCUGAAACUCGCCUGCAUGAAGCUGGAAUCGCUAGUAACGGUAGGUCAGCACACUACCGUGAAUACGUUCCCGGGCCUUGUACACACCGACUGUAC
Molecule: ribosomal RNA, 427 nt
Filed under: uncultured bacterium
Lineage: Bacteria
Description: bacterial SSU rRNA
Rfam family: Bacterial small subunit ribosomal RNA
Source: RNAcentral